RNAcentral lists this ribosomal RNA (654 nucleotides) under uncultured Bacteroidales bacterium. Its description in RNAcentral is "bacterial SSU rRNA". It matches the Rfam family "Bacterial small subunit ribosomal RNA", at positions 51 to 693 of the family's 1533-position model. The record is from RNAcentral. Lineage: Bacteria; Pseudomonadati; Bacteroidota; Bacteroidia; Bacteroidales.
ACACAUGCAAGUCGAGGGGCAGCAUUUCAUUUUGCUUGCAAAGUGAAGAUAGCGAGCGGCGCACGGGUGAGUAACACGUAUCCAACCUGCCGAUAACUCGGGGAUAGCCUUUCGAAAGAAAGAUUAAUAUCCGAUAGCAUAUCAAUCCCGCAUGAGAUUGAUAUUAAAGAAUUUCGGUUAUCGAUGGGGAUGCGUUCCAUUAGUUUGUUGGCGGGGUAACGGCCCACCAAGACUACGAUGGAUAGGGGUUCUGAGAGGAAGGUCCCCCACAUUGGAACUGAGACACGGUCCAAACUCCUACGGGAGGCAGCAGUGAGGAAUAUUGGUCAAUGGACGUAAGUCUGAACCAGCCAAGUAGCGUGAAGGAUGACUGCCCUAUGGGUUGUAAACUUCUUUUAUAUGGGAAUAAAGUAUUCCACGUGUGGGAUUUUGUAUGUACCAUAUGAAUAAGGAUCGGCUAACUCCGUGCCAGCAGCCGCGGUAAUACGGAGGAUCCGAGCGUUAUCCGGAUUUAUUGGGUUUAAAGGGAGCGUAGGUGGAUUGUUAAGUCAGUUGUGAAAGUUUGCGGCUCAACCGUAAAAUUGCAGUUGAAACUGGCAGUCUUGAGUACAGUAGAGGUGGGCGGAAUUCGUGGUGUAGCGGUGAAAUGCUUAG